AGAGUUUGAUCCUGGCUCAGGAUGAACGCUAGCGGCAGGCUUAAUACAUGCAAGUCGAACGGUAAGGUCUCUUCGGAGAUACACGAGUGGCGCACGGGUGCGUAACGCGUAUGCAACCUACCUUUAACUGGGAAAUAGCCCCGAGAAAUCGGGAUUAAUGUCCCAUACUAUUCUGAGAAUGCAUAUUCUUAGAAUGAAAGCUCCGGCGGUUAUUGAUGGGCAUGCGUGACAUUAGCUAGUUGGUGAGGUAACGGCUCACCAAGGCUACGAUGUCUAGGGGUCCUGAGAGGGUUAACCCCCACACUGGUACUGAGACACGGACCAGACUCCUACGGGAGGCAGCAGUAAGGAAUAUUGGGCAAUGGACGCAAGUCUGACCCAGCCAUGCCGCGUGAAGGAUGAAUGUCCUAUGGAUUGUAAACUUCUUUUAUGCAGGAAAAACAUCCCGGUCGUGAACCGGGACUGACGGUACUGUAUGAAUAAGCAUCGGCUAACUCCGUGCCAGCAGCCGCGGUAAUACGGAGGAUGCAAGCGUUAUCCGGAUUCAUUGGGUUUAAAGGGUGCGCAGGCGGAAUGAUAAGUCAGUGGUGAAAUCUCCCGGCUCAACCGGGAAACUGCCAUUGAUACUGUCGUUCUUGAGUACAGUUGAAGUGGGCGGAAUGUGUCAUGUA
This 671-nucleotide ribosomal RNA is filed under the name uncultured bacterium. Its description in RNAcentral is "bacterial SSU rRNA". It matches the Rfam family "Bacterial small subunit ribosomal RNA", at positions 8 to 677 of the family's 1533-position model. The record is from RNAcentral.